AUGGACAAGAAGCAUAGAGGCAAGGAAGAGAGGCUCACCCCAGGCCGCGGUCGAAGGAGAGCAGCCGCUGGCCACGCGCAGGAAGAGACGGCGGGAGGUGGUGGCGAGGGUCACGGCACCGGCGAGACUAGCUCCCAUCUGUUUGGAUUCAUCGUGUGCAUUGGAGCCACUGCUGCAAGAGCGUUGAACACUGUGUUGCAAGUAAUUCUUCUGUCGUCCGAGGGGGAGAAACUUAAUUCUAUGAACCUGCCCUUGUACAUGGCUCCAAUUGUUCUCAUUCUCUUUCUUCCUGCUACCCUCUUUAUGGAGGAUAAUGUUGUUGGCGUUACAACAGAACUGGUCAAAAAGGAUUUCACUAUUGUUUGGUUGCUGUUGUUCAACUCUUGCUUGUAA
Molecule: ribosomal RNA, 393 nt
Filed under: Triticum aestivum (bread wheat)
Lineage: Eukaryota; Viridiplantae; Streptophyta; Magnoliopsida; Poales; Poaceae
Description: partial small subunit ribosomal RNA
Source: RNAcentral